ACGCACGCUUGCGGCGUGCUUAACACAUGCAAGUCGAACGGAAAGGCCCUGCUUUUGUGGGGUGCUCGAGUGGCGAACGGGUGAGUAACACGUGAGUAACCUGCCCUUGACUUUGGGAUAACUUCAGGAAACUGGGGCUAAUACCGGAUAGGAGCUCCUGCUGCAUGGUGGGGGUUGGAAAGUUUCGGCGGUUGGGGAUGGACUCGCGGCUUAUCAGCUUGUUGGUGGGGUAGUGGCUUACCAAGGCUUUGACGGGUAGCCGGCCUGAGAGGGUGACCGGCCACAUUGGGACUGAGAUACGGCCCAGACUCCUACGGGAGGCAGCAGUGGGGAAUAUUGCACAAUGGGCGGAAGCCUGAUGCAGCAACGCCGCGUGCGGGAUGACGGCCUUCGGGUUGUAAACCGCUUUCGCCUGUGACGAAGCGUGAGUGACGGUAAUGGGUAAAGAAGCACCGGCUAACUACGUG
RNAcentral lists this ribosomal RNA (467 nucleotides) under uncultured bacterium. RNAcentral's name for it is "partial 16S ribosomal RNA". It matches the Rfam family "Bacterial small subunit ribosomal RNA", at positions 29 to 507 of the family's 1533-position model. The record is from RNAcentral.